Molecule: ribosomal RNA, 316 nt
Filed under: uncultured eukaryote
Lineage: Eukaryota
Description: partial 18S ribosomal RNA
Rfam family: Eukaryotic small subunit ribosomal RNA
Source: RNAcentral
CCCUUAGAUGUCCUGGGCCGCACGCGUGCUACACUGACGCCUACAGCGAGUACUUCCCAGCCCCGAGAGGCGGCUGGUAAUCAGCAAUAGGCGUCGUGAUGGGGAUAGAUCUUUGGAAUUAUGGAUCUUGAACGAGGAAUGCCUAGUAAGCGCAGGUCAUUAGCCUGCGCUGAUUACGUCCCUGCCCUUUGUACACACCGCCCGUCGCUACUACCGAUUUCGAGUGGUCCGGUGAAGCCUCCGGAUUGGCGCGCACCUCGGUGCCGCCGAGAAGUUGGCUAAACCUUACCAUUUAGAGGAAGGUGAAGUCGUAACA